Non-coding RNA from Atta colombica, 86 nucleotides. The record is from Rfam. NCBI's taxonomy places the organism in Eukaryota, Metazoa, Arthropoda, Insecta, Hymenoptera, Formicidae.
UUCUAGUCUCCGUGAGAUAUGUUUGAUUUUCUUGGUCGUUGUGAAUGAUCGACCGAGAAUCGAACAUAUUAUUACGGCGAUUGGAG